RNAcentral lists this ribosomal RNA (392 nucleotides) under uncultured bacterium. RNAcentral describes it as "partial 16S ribosomal RNA". It matches the Rfam family "Bacterial small subunit ribosomal RNA", at positions 523 to 918 of the family's 1533-position model. The record is from RNAcentral.
AUACGGAGGAUGCGAGCGUUAUCCGGAUUUAUUGGGUUUAAAGGGAGCGUAGGCGGGAGCUUAAGUCAGCGGUUAAAUGGUGCGGCUCAACCGUGCCCUGCCGUUGAAACUGGGUUUCUUGAGAGUGCAAGAGGCGGAUGGAAUUCAUGGUGUAGCGGGGAAAUGCUUAGAUAGCAUGAAGAACUCCGAUUGCGAAGGCAGUCCGCUGGGGCACGUCUGACGCUGAUGCUCGAAGGUGCGGGAAUCAAACAGGAUUAGAUACCCUGGUAGUCCGCACGGUAAACGAUGAGUACCCGCUGUCGGCGGCAGACAGUCGGCGGCCAAGCGAAAGCGAUAAGUAAUCCACCUGGGGAGUACGCCGGCAACGGUGAAACUCAAAUGAAUUGACGGGG